GUGGGGAGUGCCGGAUCUUGGGCUGUGUCCUCCAGUGCCCUGGGGUCCAGGGCCUGUGUCACUGGAAUCAUGCUCCAGGGGCUGUGCAGCCCCCU
This 95-nucleotide microRNA precursor is filed under the name Canis lupus familiaris (dog). Its description in RNAcentral is "mir-8799 microRNA precursor family". It matches the Rfam family "mir-8799 microRNA precursor family". RNAcentral also lists the same sequence under 1 other name. The record is from Rfam by way of RNAcentral. Lineage: Eukaryota; Metazoa; Chordata; Mammalia; Carnivora; Canidae.